GAACGCUGGCGGCGUGCCUAAUACAUUCAAGUCGAGCGAACAGACGAGGAGCUUGCUCCUCUGACGUUAGCGGCGGACGGGUGAGUAACACGUGGAUAACCUACCUAUAAGACUGGGAUAACUUCGGGAAACCGGAGCUAAUACCGGAUAAUAUAUUGAACCGCAUGGUUCAAUAGUGAAAGACGGUUUUGCUGUCACUUAUAGAUGGAUCCGCGCCGCAUUAGCUAGUUGGUAAGGUAACGGCUUACCAAGGCAACGAUGCGUAGCCGACCUGAGAGGGUGAUCGGCCACACUGGAACUGAGACACGGUCCAGACUCCUACGGGAGGCAGCAGUAGGGAAUCUUCCGCAAUGGGCGAAAGCCUGACGGAGCAACGCCGCGUGAGUGAUGAAGGUCUUCGGAUCGUAAAACUCUGUUAUUAGGGAAGAACAAAUGUGUAAGUAACUAUGCACGUCUUGACGGUACCUAAUCAGAAAGCCACGGCUAACUACGUG
This 494-nucleotide ribosomal RNA is filed under the name uncultured bacterium. Its description in RNAcentral is "partial 16S ribosomal RNA". It matches the Rfam family "Bacterial small subunit ribosomal RNA", at positions 31 to 507 of the family's 1533-position model. The record is from RNAcentral.